This 253-nucleotide ribosomal RNA is filed under the name uncultured bacterium. Its description in RNAcentral is "partial 16S ribosomal RNA". It matches the Rfam family "Bacterial small subunit ribosomal RNA", at positions 524 to 776 of the family's 1533-position model. The record is from RNAcentral.
UACGUAGGGGGCAAGCGUUGUCCGGAUUUAUUGGGCGUAAAGAGCGUGUAGGCGGCCUGACAGGUUUGCUGUGAAAACUCGAGGCUCAACCUCGAGAUGUCGGCGGAAACCGUCUGGCUAGAGUCCGGAAGAGGAGAGUGGAAUUCCUGGUGUAGCGGUGAAAUGCGCAGAUAUCAGGAAGAACACCUAUGGCGAAGGCAGCUCUCUGGGACGGUACUGACGCUGAGGCGCGAAAGCUAGGGUAGCAAACGGG